Molecule: ribosomal RNA, 462 nt
Filed under: uncultured bacterium
Lineage: Bacteria
Description: bacterial SSU rRNA
Rfam family: Bacterial small subunit ribosomal RNA
Source: RNAcentral
CGCUGGCGGCGUGCUUAACACAUGCAAGUCGAACGAUGAAGCUAGAGCUUGCUCUGGUGAAUUAGUGGCGAACGGGUGAGUAACACGUGAGUAACCUGCCCCGAACUCUGGGAUAACUGCUGGAAACGGUAGCUAAUACUGGAUACGACCUACGAAGGCAUCUUCUGUAGGUGGAAAGAAUUUCGGUUCGGGAUGGACUCGCGGCCUAUCAGCUUGUUGGUGAGGUAAUGGCUCACCAAGGCGACGACGGGUAGCCGGCCUGAGAGGGUGACCGGCCACACUGGGACUGAGACACGGCCCAGACUCCUACGGGAGGCAGCAGUGGGGAAUAUUGCACAAUGGGCGCAAGCCUGAUGCAGCAACGCCGCGUGAGGGAUGACGGCCUUCGGGUUGUAAACCUCUUUUAGUAGGGAAGAAGCGAAAGUGACGGUACCUGCAGAAAAAGCACCGGCUAACUACGUG